CCCUAAAAGGUUUGGGAAAUCUUGGUUCAAUAGUUUAAUUUGUUGUGGUUGUUUGAGUUGAAAGAGGUGGAAUCGUCUCCGUCAAACUCAUCCGUCCAGUUCGCUGCCCCGAGCCAGGUAAUCUUCUCUUUAUUUCAGCAUUUUGUUGGCUCUUGAAAUCUUGUUUGGCGUUAGCUGUUUAAGUAUGUUUUCAGUAGCUUAAAUUUUAUUUUUUAUUUUUUGCCUAUUUUUGAACUGUCUAAUUUAUAUGUGAGAUAUUUAUGUCUUUAAUUUCAUCAUUUUCUACCAUCUUAGGACAAAUAUAAUCAGUAUUGAAUGAAGUUAGAGUUAUUUUUUUUUUUAUUUUUUUUUAUUUUUUUUGUUCAAGCAUUUUAGUUGUCAAGUAGUCGAUCUGUGUAGCUUGUUGUAUUCGUUUGAUUUGAAAAGGUUUUAAAGCGCUAGUUAUUCUCGACUUGCUUCACCUUUUGACUUAUGACAAAUUUUAAAUUUGGAGUUGAAUAUUCUCAUUCAUGAUGAGCGAAAACCUCCCCAUUCAUCUAAUCUUUUUACAUGUAUAAGAGAAUGUAGUGAUUAAUUUCUCUCUAGUCAGCCAUGUGAUCCAAUAUGAGCUUGAAGUGUGUUUAUUUUGAUUAUAGCGCGACUGUUUAAAUUCGAGUUUGCGAACUUGCUUCAUGCUGUCUCAUUUCCAAUCGUUUUCGGCUCCUAGUUGUCGUCCGUCUCUCUGUUUUGAGGUUCCUAUUUUGAUUUCCAUGUGAAUGAUUCAAAAUGAUGUUCGAUUUAGUGUUAUGUCUCAUGUUACCUUAAGAUUAAUGAGUGUAGCUAUAUGUUUAACACAACUGAUAAUUUAUUUAUGUGUUAAGAUGUUAGUUUGUUGUUCUUUAUAAUGCUACUGUCGGGAUUAAUGGAACACAAAAGUUCUCAUGUGUUAACCGAUUUUUAUUUAUUUUUGACUCCUUAAUCUCUAGUUUUCUCUGACUGCUGGUUGAAUUUAAGGUUUAUGUGAAGUUGUUUAAAUUGUCCCUUCCUUGUCUAUUUUCCGAUUUUCUUUGCUCAAAUUUAUAGCUAAAGUUUGUAGUUAUGGAUUGUCUUAAUGUGAAUAUAAAGAAAAGGUUUUAGGAUCAAAUGUUGCCUUCAUUUUGUUUGGCAUAUUACUUGAUUUAUCUCUGCCAAAAAAUGAUUUUCAAUUGUCCAUAAUUAAUUAAGCAUGUUAGUAUAAACUACUUUGAAGUCCUCAUUAUGAUAUGUCAUUUUUAUCGCCUUUAGCAUAACUGAGUUAAUACAUAUCAAUUAAUCUUAUGUGACUUCAAAUAUUUAAAUUUUGAAUCUAAAAGAGAUUGGAGUUUGUACAUCCAUGAGUAGUGUCGGGUUUGGUCUUGAUGUGAUACUUGUUUGAAUCUCUUUAUUUAUUAAUUAUAUGGAAUGUACUCUUUCUAUCAUUAAUUAUUAUACAUGCUAGUUGAAGUCUGCAUGCCUUAAUUCUUGGCUACAAACCUUUCUGCAAGUAUCAUGUGAUAAGCUCCCCAUAUUGUGGUACUAGUUUUUUUUUCUAUUUUAAUUGAAAUUGUUCAUUUUAAGUUAAAAUUUGAAAAAAAAUGCUAGCUUUGUUUGAUCGUACAAAUUAUUUGUGCUUAAAGCUGAAUGAGAUGUGUGCUUUCCUUAAUUAUCUAAAAAUUGUUCACUUUGCUAAUUUACUUUUUUUUUUCUCUUCUUUGUUUGUUGUAUGUGACAUCCGAAUGAGUCCAAUGGACUCUCAUCUCUUGCAUUUUCCUCUUCGAGUCGACCUCCUUUAAACCGACUGAAAUGGAAGUUAUUUUCAUCGGGAUAAGCACCCCAAAAAGACAGCAGCAGCAGUAGCUUAAAGGGCUAAAAGAAUAGUUUUUUUUUUUUUUAUUUGAAAAGUCUGAAAAUGGCACCAGCUGAAGCAGAGUUGCAGCUGCCUCUAAAAGGCAGAAAAACGAGGAGAAAAAAUUGGGUCGAAACCCCGACAAACCACCAGCAGUAGCAGCAGUCCCCAAAGGGACUAAAAUUGGAAAUUUUUGGACUUUAAAAAGUCCAAUCUGGGCAGCAGCAAAUGAGAAGCAGCAAGUGGACUUAAAGUUGUCCAAAUCCUAUUUGCACUUUUGUUUCCCUUAUAUCGUGAUUUUGUGAUACUUGCUCUUAAUUUCUAACAUUUAUUUUAUCAAUUUAGAUGAAUCCUUGGGGUGAUAUGUUUAUUAAAGUUUUCAAAUUUUGAAACUCAUUUUAAGUUAGGUAAUUUAAGCUUUAUAGAAUGACUUGAGAACCUUUUAUGUUCUUUCAUAGUUAUUGAUAAGCUUCGAAUCCAUGUUUACGAGUUUGAACUAACUAUUUGGUUCAAAUUUUUAAAUAGGAUAAAGUUGUUAAGUUUCUUAAAAUAAAUUAGUUGUCUUUUAGUUUAACUUAGGACCUUGUAUGAAUGACUUAAGGAUUUUCUAUAUAUUUUUGUAGUUGUCAAACAA
This 2477-nucleotide long non-coding RNA is filed under the name Solanum tuberosum (potato). RNAcentral describes it as "long non-coding RNA (STUB_LNC010132)". Lineage: Eukaryota; Viridiplantae; Streptophyta; Magnoliopsida; Solanales; Solanaceae. The record is from RNAcentral.